RNAcentral lists this ribosomal RNA (484 nucleotides) under uncultured bacterium. RNAcentral describes it as "partial 16S ribosomal RNA". It matches the Rfam family "Bacterial small subunit ribosomal RNA", at positions 28 to 507 of the family's 1533-position model. The record is from RNAcentral.
GUUGAACGCUGGCGGCAGGCCUAACACAUGCAAGGCGAGGGGAUGAAGGGAGCUUGCUUCUGGAUUCAGCGGCGGACGGGGGAGUAAUGCCUAGGAAUCUGCCUGGUAGUGGGGGAUAACGUCCGGAAACGGGCGCUAAUACCGCAUACGUCCUGAGGGAGAAAGUGGGGGAUCUUCGGACCUCACGCUAUCAGAUGAGCCUAGGUCGGAUUAGCUAGUUGGUGGGGUAAAGGCCUACCAAGGCGACGAUCCGUAACUGGUCUGAGAGGAUGAUCAGUCACACUGGAACUGAGACACGGUCCCGACUCCUACGGGAGGCCGCAGCGCGCAAUCCCGGCCCGUGGGUCAACGGCUGAUGCAGCCGUGCCGGGUGUAUGAAGAAGCCCUCCGGAUUGUACAGCCCUCCAGGUUGUGAGGUAGGGAAGUAAGUUACUACCUUGCUGUCUUGACGUGAGCAACAGCAUAAGCACCGCCUAACCUCGUG